RNAcentral lists this RNase P RNA (397 nucleotides) under bovine gut metagenome. Its description in RNAcentral is "Bacterial RNase P class A". It matches the Rfam family "Bacterial RNase P class A", at positions 33 to 357 of the family's 367-position model. From Rfam's summary of the family: Ribonuclease P (RNase P) is a ubiquitous endoribonuclease, found in archaea, bacteria and eukarya as well as chloroplasts and mitochondria. Its best characterised activity is the generation of mature 5'-ends of tRNAs by cleaving the 5'-leader elements of precursor-tRNAs. The record is from RNAcentral.
CUGUUGCUGAGAGGAAAGUCCGGGCAGCUCGAGCCACCAUGCUUCCUAACGGGAAGGCACUUGGGUAGUUAACAAUUAAUAGAUAAAAGUUAAUAGUUAAUUGUUCGGGUGACAGCGAGCGCCACAGAAAACAAACCGCCUUUUAUCGUAAGGUGAGAGGUAAGGGUGAAAACGCGGGGUAAGAGCCCACGACGUGUCGCGGUGACGCGCACGAUGGCAAGCCUCAUGGGCUGAAAGACCAUGUAUACCGACAUGUAAGGGCUGGCUCGCCCGAAGGGUCGGGAGUUGUCGGCAAAGCCGACACCCACCCAUUGUCGGGGGGUAGGUUGAUUGAGACCGUCGGUGACGGCGGCCCUAGAUUGAUGAUAGAACACGACAGAACCCGGCUUACAGACCC